Molecule: ribosomal RNA, 425 nt
Filed under: uncultured prokaryote
Description: bacterial SSU rRNA
Rfam family: Bacterial small subunit ribosomal RNA
Source: RNAcentral
UGGGGAAUCUUGCGCAAUGGGCGAAAGCCUGACGCAGCAACGCCGCGUGGGGGAUGAAGGCUCUCGGGUUGUAAACCCCUUUCAGCAGGGACGAAAAUGACGGUACCUGCAGAAGAAGCCCCGGCCAACUACGUGCCAGCAGCCGCGGUAACACGUAGGGGGCAAGCGUUGUCCGGAAUUACUGGGCGUAAAGAGCUCGUAGGCGGUUCGGUAAGUCAGAUGUGAAAACUCCGGGCUCAACCCGGAGACGCCAUCUGAUACUGCUGUGACUUGAGUCCGGUAGAGGAGCGUGGAAUUCCUGGUGUAGCGGUGAAAUGCGCAGAUAUCAGGAGGAACACCGACGGCGAAGGCAGCGCUCUGGGCCGGUACUGACGCUGAGGAGCGAAAGCGUGGGUAGCAAACAGGAUUAGAUACCCCCGUAGUCC